UGCCUUAUUCACCCACCCUUUGUCUACGUGUACCUCUAUAGCUUCCUCGGCGGGCUCGCCCGCCGCCAGGAACCCACGAAACCCCUUGCAUUAUACACGAAAACUUCUGAUAACAAACCUAAAUUAUCACAACUUUCAACAAUGGAUCUCUUGGUUCUGGCAUCGAUGAAGAACGCAGCGAAAUGCGAUAAGUAGUGUGAAUUGCAGAAUUCAGUGAAUCAUCGAAUCUUUGAACGCACAUUGCGGCCAUAGGUAUUCCUUUGGCCAUGCCUGUUCGAGCGUCAUUUACACCCUCAAGCCUAGCUUGGUGUUGGGCGUCUGUCCCGCCGUUUUCGCGCGCGGACUCGCCUCAAAGUCAUUGGCGGCGGUCGUGCCGGCUCCUCGCGCAGCACAUUUGCGCUUCUCGGAGGCCCGGCGGAUCCGCGCUCCAGCAAAGACCUCGGCGAGUGAAGCGGCAACAGCUCAAAUUUGAAAUCUGGCCCCUUCGGGGCCCGAGUUGUAAUUUGCAGAGGGUGCUUUGGCGUUGGCGGCGGUCUAAGUUCCUUGGAACAGGACAUCGCAGAGGGUGAGAAUCCCGUAUGUGGUCGCCUGCCUUCGCCGUGUAAAGCCCCUUCGACGAGUCGAGUUGUUUGGGAAUGCAGCUCUAAAUGGGAGGUAAAUUUCUUCUAAAGCUAAAUACCGGCCAGAGACCGAUAGCGCACAAGUAGAGUGAUCGAAAGAUGAAAAGCACUUUGGAAAGAGAGUCAAACAGCACGUGAAAUUGUUGAAAGGGAAGCGCUUGCAGCCAGACUUGCCUGUAGUUGCUCACCCGGGCUCCUGCCCGGGGCACUCUUCUGCAGGCAGGCCAGCAUCAGUUUGGGCGGUUGGAUAAAGGGCUCUGACACGUACUUCCCCUCGGGGUUGACAUACAGGGGAGCCGCAAUGCGACCAGCCCGGACUGAGGUCCGCGCAUCUGCUAGGAUGCUGGCGUAAUGGCUGUAAGCGGCCCGUCUUGAAACACGGACCAAGGAGUCUAACAUCUAUGCGAGUGUUUGGGUGUCAAGCCCGAGCGCGUAAUGAAAGUGAACGGAGGUGGGAACCCCUCGGGGUGCACCAUCGACCGAUCCUGAUGUCUUCGGAUGGAUUUGAGUAAGAGCAUA
Molecule: small RNA, 1139 nt
Filed under: Periconia sp. 9 MU-2012
Lineage: Eukaryota; Fungi; Ascomycota; Dothideomycetes; Pleosporales; Periconiaceae
Description: eukaryotic LSU rRNA
Rfam family: Eukaryotic large subunit ribosomal RNA (bases 429-1139)
Source: RNAcentral